CCCCCCCCCCCCCGGCGGGGUACACCAGCCCUCUCCCCCACCUCGGCCUCCAGCCAGCCGCCGCCCGGUCUCCAGCCGCCAACUCGGUCUCCAACAGCCGAAACUCGGUCUUCAGCCGCCGCUCCGUCUCCAGCAACCGCAGCUCCAUCUCAGCACCGGAAUCCCCCGGAAGCCGGUCAAUACUGGGAUUGGUUUCCGGCUUGGUCUACAAGCGUAAUCCGGUGACUUCUAACCUUUGUUAUUUCGUUAUUUCAAUAUUUCAUUUUAUUUCAUUAUUUCAUAUUUCAUUCUUCGUAUUAUGCUAGUAGUAGCCCCUGUACCUUGACUUGCGUGGGAUUUGUGGAUAUUCUCUGUUGUCUGUUGUUGCUGUUGCUGUGGUCGUUUCUUGCACUGCUUUGGAUUGGGUUGUCGGCUGGGAAUCUGUAUUUGGGGUUGUGGGUGUUGAGUCCAGUGGGGUUUGCCCCCUAAUUGAGUAUAGUUUUGUUUCGGGAGUAUUUCUUUGAAUUUGUGUGAGCCUUGUAUUUCCUUGCUGCUGCUUUGAUACUACCACNNNN
Molecule: long non-coding RNA, 554 nt
Filed under: Capsicum annuum
Lineage: Eukaryota; Viridiplantae; Streptophyta; Magnoliopsida; Solanales; Solanaceae
Description: long non-coding RNA (CANN_LNC013341)
Source: RNAcentral